AGCAGCCGCGGUAAUUCCAGCUCCAAUAGCGUAUAUUAAAGUUGUUGCAGUUAAAAAGCUCGUAGUUGAAUUUCGGGAUCAGUAGGUUGGUCGUGCCACUGGUAUGUACUGGUCUUACUGAUUCCUCCUUCUUGUGGAACGGUAAUGUCAUUAAUUUGGUGUUGCAGGAAAACAGGACUGUUACUUUGAAAAAUUAGAGUGUUUAAAGCAAGCUAACGCUUGAAUACAUUAGCAUGGAAUAAUGAAAUAGGACGUUUGAUCCUAUUUUGUUGGUUUCUAGGAUUGACGUAAUGAUUAAUAGGGAUAGUUGGGGGCAUUAGUAUUCAAUUGUCAGAGGUGAAAUUCUUGGAUUUAUUGAAGACUAACUACCGCGAAAGCAUUUGCCAAGGAUGUUUUCAUUAAUCAAGAACGAAAGUUAGGGGAUCGAAGACGAUCAGAUACCGUCGUAGUCUUAACCAUAAACUAUGCCGACUAGGGAUCGGAUGA
Molecule: ribosomal RNA, 486 nt
Filed under: uncultured Glomus
Lineage: Eukaryota; Fungi; Glomeromycota; Glomeromycetes; Glomerales; Glomeraceae
Description: SSU rRNA
Rfam family: Eukaryotic small subunit ribosomal RNA
Source: RNAcentral